RNAcentral lists this ribosomal RNA (429 nucleotides) under Veillonella parvula. RNAcentral's name for it is "bacterial SSU rRNA". It matches the Rfam family "Bacterial small subunit ribosomal RNA", at positions 43 to 448 of the family's 1533-position model. The record is from RNAcentral. Lineage: Bacteria; Bacillati; Bacillota; Negativicutes; Veillonellales; Veillonellaceae.
CGGGCGUCUUAACAUGCAAGUCGAACGAAGAGCGAUGGAAGCUUGCUUCUAUCAAUCUUAGUGGCGAACGGGUGAGUAACGCGUAAUCAACCUGCCCUUCAGAGGGGGACAACAGUUGGAAACGACUGCUAAUACCGCAUACGAUCUAAUCUCGGCAUCGAGGAUAGAUGAAAGGUGGCCUCUACAUGUAAGCUAUCACUGAAGGAGGGGAUUGCGUCUGAUUAGCUAGUUGGAGGGGUAACGGCCCACCAAGGCGAUGAUCAGUAGCCGGUCUGAGAGGAUGAACGGCCACAUUGGGACUGAGACACGGCCCAGACUCCUACGGGAGGCAGCAGUGGGGAAUCUUCCGCAAUGGACGAAAGUCUGACGGAGCAACGCCGCGUGAGUGAUGACGGCCUUCGGGUUGUAAAGCUCUGUUAAUCGGGACAA